GACGAACGCUGGCGGCGUGCUUAACACAUGCAAGUCGAACGGAAAGGCCCUGCUUUUGUGGGGUGCUCGAGUGGCGAACGGGUGAGUAACACGUGAGUAACCUGCCCUUGACUUUGGGAUAACUUCAGGAAACUGGGGCUAAUACCGGAUAGGAGCUCCUGCUGCAUGGUGGGGGUUGGAAAGUUUCGGCGGUUGGGGAUGGACUCGCGGCUUAUCAGCUUGUUGGUGGGGUAGUGGCUUACCAAGGCUUUGACGGGUAGCAGGCCUGAGAGGGUGACCGGCCACAUUGGGACUGAGCUACGGCCCAGCCUCCUACGGGAGGCAGCAGUGGGGAAUAUUGCACAAUGGGCGGAAGCCUGAUGCAGCAACGCCGCGUGCGGGAUGACGGCCUUCGGGUUGUAAACCGCUUUCGCCUGUGACGAAGCGUGAGUGACGGUAAUGGGUAAAGAAGCACCGGCUAACUACGUG
RNAcentral lists this ribosomal RNA (468 nucleotides) under uncultured bacterium. Its description in RNAcentral is "partial 16S ribosomal RNA". It matches the Rfam family "Bacterial small subunit ribosomal RNA", at positions 28 to 507 of the family's 1533-position model. The record is from RNAcentral.